CGGGCCAGGCGGCCUUUAACGGGGCCGCGCCGCCUUUGUUCUCUCAUCAGGCGCCCUGCACCUCAUCCCCACGGGAACCCGGUUACUUGACCAGCCUGAGGUUUCAGGUGAGGUCAGGACGCAGCCUGGCAGCCGCAGUGAAACCCGCUGGCUCGGCCUCCCUGACCGGUGUAGGUGACGACGAACAAUACACCGGGUGGCUAACAGCUGGGAGAAUGGUUACGUUUGUUUUUGUGUCUUGAUUUGCGGGCCGCUACAUUUAAUUUCCAAUAUCUACCAAGAGCGGUGGUGCUUGCAAAGGCAUCUGUCUGUAUGACUUCACAGUGCUCAAUGCUUCAGAAAGAUGGAUGAAUGAGGCCAGGCAUUAUCAUAAGCCAGGUAUUCUUAGCACCCUGGGCAUCUCCCUGUAAUUAGAGUCUCUACGUUUCAUUCCAGAUCCUAGACUUUCAUCUUCAGAAAACCAUUGUUUUGUGGGAGCUCUCCAGGGUACUGGACUUCUGCCUGAAAAACAUCUCUGACAUCGCAGACUAGUGUUCCACAGCUACAUCUAACUGACAUCUCUGUGUGUCUUGAACAUUGUCUUCUUUAUACCAGAGAACCACAUUCACCCCAGUCCGAGAGCUCUGUGCACGCCAUUUCUUCUUGAAACUCCCUCUCUUCUGUGGAACUGCCUCUUUCUACCAGCAAGUCUCUGUGGCUCAGCUUAAAUGUGUCCUUUUUAGAAACACCCAACUAGAAGGUUCUGGGACACCCUCCCGUUCUCUGCCACAGCUGCUCAGGUAGGGCAGGCACCUGUAACAUCAGCCUGGAUAGAACCCAGUGUGAAGACUCAGGUGCCCGAGUCUCAAGCUGUGGUCAUCGAUUAACACAGAUCAGCACAUCAGGCUGUGGACGCGAGGCCUUGGACACACCUGCCACACUCCCAUGUCGCCCUGGGACAAAGUGGGUGGGCUGGCUGCAUGCUGCCAAGGUGACGUGAGACCGCGUGGCUUCCUGGUAAAGGGAUACAGGGACUCUGCCAGUUUACCACAUUUAUGGCCUUCGGUCAGCUUCUGAAUCUCAGCUUCCUCAUUUGCAACUGCAUGAAUCCCAGGGUGGCGACCUUGCUGUUCACACCAGAGUUUUGUGGAAGUCGUUGUCUCCUGGAACACGCGCACUGCCAUGGCCCUAAGGGAUCAUCUGGAACAGCGGGUGACUCAGCCUUUUUCCACCCCACACUGCGAAGAGCUGAGACCACUCCUGGCAGCAGCAGGAGCCUUCUACAGCAGUGAAUCCAACGGGGGUGGGAUGAGAGAUAAACAUCGAUCAGCUGCCUCCUGCACACCCUGGGGCCGGGGGGACCUGUCAGGCUUGCUCUCUGUCAUCUAGAUGGCAGGGCGUUGGGGGAAGGCAACACGGGACAGGUCUGUUUUGAUAGAAGUGACCACGAAUAGCCUAGACCACACAGCGGGAAAAACCCCCUGCACCCCUCUGUCCAUGUUGAAAAUCACUGAUCAAGUUAACACCUCGUUCUGUAGAUGUGGGAAUCCAGGGAGACCUGAAGAAGUGAAGGAACCGGAAACACACAGUGAAAACAAUGCUGUGUGUCGAACCCAGGUCCGGAUGCCCAGUCAGGUUAGGAUGUAACACACACAUAACUCUAAAAGGGCCAUGCGUUCUGAAGGAGAGGAGUGGAGCGUGUUGAUCUAGUCACUCCUUAGUUUAAAAGGUGGGGUGAAGGAAAAGUCCAGGAAGUUACUGAAAAGAAGCUGAAGCCCUGGCCGGUUUGACUCAGUGAAUAGAGUGUUGGCCUGUGGACUGAAGGGACCCGGAUU
Long non-coding RNA from Myotis brandtii (Brandt's bat), 1814 nucleotides. RefSeq lists it as uncharacterized. Lineage: Eukaryota; Metazoa; Chordata; Mammalia; Chiroptera; Vespertilionidae. The record is from RefSeq and is a predicted model, not a curated record. The transcript has 7 exons.